This 253-nucleotide ribosomal RNA is filed under the name uncultured bacterium. Its description in RNAcentral is "partial 16S ribosomal RNA". It matches the Rfam family "Bacterial small subunit ribosomal RNA", at positions 524 to 776 of the family's 1533-position model. The record is from RNAcentral.
UACGGAGGGUGCAAGCGUUAUCCGGAUUCACUGGGUUUAAAGGGUGCGUAGGUGGGUUGGUAAGUCAGUGGUGAAAUCUCCGAGCUUAACUUGGAAACUGCCAUUGAUACUAUCAAUCUUGAAUACUGUGGAGGUCAGCGGAAUAUGUCAUGUAGCGGUGAAAUGCUUAGAUAUGACACAGAACACCAAUUGCGAAGGCAGCUCACUAAGCUGUAACUGACACUGAGGCACGAAAGCGUGGGGAGCAAACAGG